GACGAACGCUGGCGGCGUGCUUAACACAUGCAAGUGGAGCGACGAACCAGGGCUUGCCCUGGGGCAAAGCCGCGAACGGGUGAGUAACACGUGGGUAACCUGCCUCGAUGAUCGGGACAACCCGGGGAAACCCGAGCUAAUACCGAAUGUGCCCCGACCACAUCAGUGGACGGUGUAAAGGAAGCUUCGGCCUCCGCAUCGAGAUGGGCCCGCGGCCCAUUAGCUUGUUGGUGGGGUAAAGGCCUACCAAGGCUUCGAUGGGUAGCUGGUCUGAGAGGACGAUCAGCCACACUGGGACUGAGACACGGCCCAGACUCCUACGGGAGGCAGCAGUGGGGAAUCUUGCGCAAUGCGCGAAAGCGUGACGCAGCAACGCCGCGUGGGGGAAGACGGCCUUAGGGUUGUAAACCCCUUUCAGGAGGGACGAAGGUCGGCGCGUUAAUAGCGUGUCCGACUGACGGUACCUCCACAAGAAGCCCCGGCUAACUACGUGCCAGCAGCCGCCGUAACAC
Molecule: ribosomal RNA, 512 nt
Filed under: uncultured bacterium
Lineage: Bacteria
Description: bacterial SSU rRNA
Rfam family: Bacterial small subunit ribosomal RNA
Source: RNAcentral